GAUGAAGAACGCAGCGAAAUGCAAUAAGUAAUGUGAAUUGCAGAAUUCAGUGAAUCAUCGAAUCUUUGAACGCACAUUGCGCCCAUUAGUAUUCUAGUGGGCAUGCCUGUUCGAGCGUCAUUAAGUCCACUUAAGCCCUGCUUAGUGUUGGGAGACUGCUCCAGCGGUGCUACCCUGUAGCUACCCUGCAGCUCCUCAAAGACAGCGGCGGAGUUGUGGUAUCCUCUGAGCUUAGUAACUUGUUCUAGCUUUCGAGUACACCACUUCCCCUGCCGUAAAACCCUUAAUUUUUAAUGGUUGACCUCGGAUCAGGUAGGAAUACCCGCUGAACUUAAGCAUAUCAAUAAGCGGAGGA
This 355-nucleotide unclassified non-coding RNA is filed under the name soil metagenome. RNAcentral's name for it is "partial contains 5.8S ribosomal RNA, internal transcribed spacer 2, and large subunit ribosomal RNA". The stretch from base 1 to 120 matches the Rfam family "5.8S ribosomal RNA", at positions 35 to 154 of the family's 154-position model. The record is from RNAcentral.